RNAcentral lists this ribosomal RNA (253 nucleotides) under uncultured bacterium. Its description in RNAcentral is "partial 16S ribosomal RNA". It matches the Rfam family "Bacterial small subunit ribosomal RNA", at positions 524 to 776 of the family's 1533-position model. The record is from RNAcentral.
UACGAAGGGGGCUAGCGUUGUUCGGAUUUACUGGGCGUAAAGCGCGCGUAGGCGGAUCGGUAAGUCGGGUGUGAAAUCCUGGAGCUCAACUCCAGAACUGCCUUCGAUACUGGCGAUCUCGAGUCCGGAAGAGGUGAGUGGAACUCCUAGUGUAGAGGUGGAAUUCGUAGAUAUUAGGAAGAACACCAGUGGCGAAGGCGGCUCACUGGGCCGGUACUGACGCUGAUGUGCGAAAGCGUGGGGAGCAAACAGG